CCUACGUGAGGCAGCAGUGGGGAAUAUUGCACAAUGGGGGAAACCCUGAUGCAGCGACGCCGCGUGAGUGAAGAAGUAUUUAGGUAUGUAAAGCUCUAUCUGUAGGGAAGUAAAAAGUCGGUACCUGACUAAGAAGCCUCUGCUAACUACGUGCCAGCAGCCGAGGUAAUACGCAGGGGGCAAGCGUUAUCCGAAUUUACUGGGUGUAAAGGGAGCGUAGACGGAGCGGCAAGUCUGAGGUGAAAGGCAGGGGCUGAACCCCGGAACUGCUUUGGAAACUGCCAUGUUAGAGUGCAGGAGAGGUAAGUGGAAUUCGUGGUGUAGCGGUGAAAUGCGUAGAUAUUAGGAGGAACACCAGUGGCGAAGGCGGCUUACUGGACAGUAACUGACGUUGAGGCUCGAAAGCGUGGGGAGCAAACAGGAUUAGAUACCCUUGUAGUC
RNAcentral lists this ribosomal RNA (441 nucleotides) under uncultured bacterium. RNAcentral's name for it is "partial 16S ribosomal RNA". It matches the Rfam family "Bacterial small subunit ribosomal RNA", at positions 338 to 795 of the family's 1533-position model. The record is from RNAcentral.